CCUACGGGUCGCACCAGUGGGGAAUAUUGCGCAAUGGGCGGAAGCCUGACGCAGCGACGCCGCGUGGGGGAUGACGGCCUUCGGGUUGUAAACCUCUUUCAGCAGGGACGAAGCGGAAGUGACGGUACCUGCAGAAGAAGCACCGGCCAACUACGUGCCAGCAGCCGCGGUAAUACGUAGGGUGCAAGCGUUGUCCGGAAUUAUUGGGCGUAAAGAGCUCGUAGGCGGUCUGUCGCGUCGGCUGUGAAAACCCGGAGCUCAACUCCGGGCCUGCAGUCGAUACGGGCAAACUGGUGUGUUGCAGGGGAGACUGGAAUUCCUGGUGUAGCGGUGAAAUGCGCAGAUAUCAGGAGGAACACCGGUGGCGAAGGCGGGUCUCUGGGCAACAACUGACGCUGAGGAGCGAAAGCGUGGGGAGCGAACAGGAUUAGAUACCCGCGUAGUC
RNAcentral lists this ribosomal RNA (445 nucleotides) under uncultured bacterium. RNAcentral describes it as "bacterial SSU rRNA". It matches the Rfam family "Bacterial small subunit ribosomal RNA", at positions 338 to 795 of the family's 1533-position model. The record is from RNAcentral.